GAAAGGGGUGGGGGCCUGGGGCUUCAAGGGGUAAGGCAAUUCACAACAGAGCAAAUGUUGGUCAACGAAGGUUGCCCUGCUAUACGGACAAGUCUCAGGAGAGCAAUAUGGCUGUGAGUGUCAUGUCACCAUCAAACAACACUGGAGCCUAACCGUCACAUCCCCAGUUUCCAGAGAUGAGGACAUGGACUUAUCUUUUGGGAGCCACCAUUCAACUCACUACAAUGUCCUAGAAGACUUCUGAAGCUAUAUAAUGGAUUCCAGGGAUGAUAUAACACACAACUAUAAAUCAAGAUUCACCCUGAGCUAACGUCUGUGCCACUCCUUCUCCACUUUGCAUGUGGGACACUGCCACAGCAUGGCUGAUGAGCGGAGUUUGUCCACAGCCAGGAUCCAAACCCAAGAACCCUGGUCGCCGAAGCAGAGUGCAUGGAACUGUAACCAUUCAGCCACAGGCCUGGCCCCUGAUAUAAUCUUUUGACAAAGUCACACACAGCUAAAUAACACACUUGUCUCAGCCAUAAUCUCAGAGUUCCAGCAACCUCUUUGAAUUACCAAUUAUAUUCAUUAUGUGACAUGUAAUUUAAUAAAUAGAGACUCUCUCUUUAGUAUUCGUUAUCUUGUUCAUAGUGCUACUCUCUCAGAUUAUGCUUUUAUUUAAAUAAUACCAAUUAAACUUUUAAAAAUUCAGUACUGUGAUAAAUUUUAAACAAUCCAUAUAAUAAUACAAAUUAAUAAGCCAAUAUUAAAAUGUAUCCCCAUUGUUAUCUAAAUUGUUUCAAAUUUUUAUAAAUUCAGUAUCUCUAUUAUUGACUGAGUCAUGAAAUAAUUUAUUGAAAUAUUUAAUAAGCUUAAUUUUUUUGUUUUCUCCCACUUCAGUGAACAUAGUUUAGCAAAUUUAUUUGGACAAUUUUCAGGAUUCAAUAAAUUAUAAAGUUUUGUUCUUCAGUUAUCAAAACAACAAUUGCAUUUCAUAUAGUUAGUGGACACUCUGCUAAUGUCUAUUAAAAUGAUAUUUUAUUUUGCUUUAUUUUAAAUAAUAGGAUUUUUUUUACAUUACUAUGAUAUCACUUGCUUCACUUUCACAUUUUCCUUUACUUAAUUUUAUAUGUUCAGCCAUUUCUACAUUUGUUUAUUGCUGUCAGCUUUGGUAGCUGGGUAUAUUUUUGUUGUAAAGCUAAAGACUCUAUUGAAUCUCUAUUAGACUAUCAGUUACUGAAGCCAAGUCUCUAUAAAUAUUUCAUUUUACAAUUAUUUAAAUACCCCAUUUCACAAUUUUUAUUAAAUGCCUAGACAAGGUUUUUAUAGUGUUGGCAUCAAACACUGUCUGUUGAAGUCGAAAUAUUCUUCCAAUUUCCAUUAUUUUACUCUAAGAUCUUAGGAUACAUUUUGAUUUGACUUGAUAAGACACAAUUUGAUCCUCACUAAAAUUUGUUUGAUGUAUGGAAGUAAAUAAAAGUUUAUCAAGAAAAUAUUUAAAGUGAUGUCCAUCAUCUGGGGAUAAUUGAGUACAAGGACCGACACAGUGCUGAAUUAAAACAUCUGGACUUUUUUCUAGAGUUUUUCCUGGAACUCUCAACUUUCUCCCAGCAUUCCUCUAACAUCAUCUGUAUAAAAUUCAAAGAGAUUUUCAUCUAUCUCAUCAAAACUAUUUUUCAAGAAAUAAUAAAAUUAGAUGUUAUGUUAGCUGUUGUUCUUUCUAGCUCUGAGAUCAACAAAAGUACUAAACUAUAUGUUAAAUCAUAAACUUCAGAUUUUAAGUAAAUUUUUAAAACAUUUUUAUGUGAGACAGUUGAAGCUUCAUUAAUAAUUUAAAAUUUUGAAAUUCAAUUGCCUUGAUCUAUGUUUUCUGAAAAAUGUUACCUCAUUUCUGUUUUAUACCCGGAGGGACCAUAAAUCUAGACUGCGAUCUUAUACUCAUUUUGAUACUAUUUGUUUCUUGAAGGUCUAUUAAAUCAUUUAUGUCUGAAAAUGCUUGAUUGUUUCUAACUACGGUAUUAAAAAUUCUUACGACACUUUCC
RNAcentral lists this long non-coding RNA (2021 nucleotides) under Equus asinus (donkey). Its description in RNAcentral is "lncRNA (ENSEASG00005026247.1)". Lineage: Eukaryota; Metazoa; Chordata; Mammalia; Perissodactyla; Equidae. The record is from RNAcentral.